This 372-nucleotide ribosomal RNA is filed under the name uncultured bacterium. RNAcentral describes it as "bacterial SSU rRNA". It matches the Rfam family "Bacterial small subunit ribosomal RNA", at positions 162 to 515 of the family's 1533-position model. The record is from RNAcentral.
GCUAAUACCGCAUAAUGCAGCGGCUCGACAUCGAGACAGUUGUUAAAGCGGGGGAUCGCAAGACCUCGCGCCUGAAGAGAAGCCUGCGGCAGAUUAGCUAGUUGGUAGGGUAAUGGCCUACCAAGGCAACGAUCUGUAACCGGCCUGAGAGGGCGGUCGGUCACACUGACACUGACAUACGGGUCAGACUCCUACGGGAGGCAGCAGUCGGGAAUUUUGGGCAAUGGGCGAAAGCCUGACCCAGCAACGCCGCGUGAAGGAUGAAAUCCUUCGGGAUGUAAACUUCGCAAGAAUGGGAAGAAUAAGUGGGGGACAAUACCCCCCAUGAUGACGGUACCAUUUGUAAGCUCAGGCUAACUCCGUGCCAGCAGC